Molecule: long non-coding RNA, 14566 nt
Filed under: Triticum aestivum (bread wheat)
Lineage: Eukaryota; Viridiplantae; Streptophyta; Magnoliopsida; Poales; Poaceae
Description: long non-coding RNA (TAES_LNC020792)
Source: RNAcentral
GCAUAACGCCACCAUUAAUGUGUAAUUUUGGUCCUGGACUGGGUUGUGCCCGUGUGCCUUACUUUUGGUCCACAAACGAAUUUUAAUGUGUAACCAUCUCAAAGGACAUUAAACCUUACGAGCAAAGAGAUACUGUUAACAACCUAACGAUAUCUUCCUCGAUCUAUCACUCUCACAGAUGAACUCAGAUAGCAAUGGUGGAUUACAGGAUCACAGAUACACGAAUUGGAGGAAGGAAGGUAAGGGGAAAGGAGGGUAGCCGCCGCCGGGUUCAUUCGUGAUCCACUGGAUAGGUUGUUCGUUGCUUUUGCCCAAGUAUUUGUAGCUGCAUCGGCCAGAGGAUUCCCAGCCGGGCCAGGCCCAAGUGAUGUCCAAAGGCAAGCCCAUAUGGGGUAGGGGGAGGGCCCUGACAUCCCCCCUCCUUGAGAUUCGGCUUGCCCCCAAGCCAAUGCCACCGAGACCCGCCUGAAUCCCAUUGCACUCGAUCGUCCUUGCCCCUUGAAUGGCGCCAUUGAGAACCGCCCGGGUCCCAUUGCCGUCGGUGUUGCUUGACUAGCUUGACGUCAUGGUGGUAGUCGAAGUCGGGGUUGACUUGAACAACGAGGUUGUAGUAGUCGUGGCCGAUGGCAACCUGACCAAAGGAGGUGUCGAGGAAGUAGUCGUUGUAGACGUUGAUGUAGUACUUGUGGUCGACGUAGCCUUGCACCAAGCCGGCAGCAAGAAUGACCACGAUGGCAUUCCCUACUUCUUGAAAAUGUUCUACGUCGCAACAUUGAGAGAACGACAUACCACUCAUGGCUUGUGCUUCAUGGUUGGUGAGCAUCGACAUCAGGAUCUUCAACGACCGAGGAUUGCAAGCUGGCAUGGCAACACUCCCGGGAUCCCAUGACUUGUGCACAAUUGCAUUUUGUAUGUGUUCAUGCAUGCUUGCAUUCUCAUCAGAGUCAGGUAGUGACAUCUACUGCUGAACUAACUGAUGAAUGGGCUUGUCCAUAUGAGAUAUUUGUUCCACUUUGCCCACUAUACCAUCUAGUUCAGCAACGUCUUGUGAUGGGCCUCUCAGGAUACUGAAUGUUAUAUCCAACCAAAAGUCUCCUGCUACGCUCCACUUCCUUGUAGAAAGAAGGGAAAUAAACAUAGAUGACUUGUUGUCAGGUAGCACAAUAUCCUCAAAAUUAAUCGGCGUCCAAGAGACCUUCUUGUCAAGCAAAGAUUCACCUAUGGUGUAACGCCCCGAGACCGUUGUGCCAGGUGUCCUCCAGUUAUUCGCUGUUGUUGCCUUGUCAUGCUUGCGUGUCAUGCAUCUCAUAUCAUGUCAUCAUGUGCAUCGCAUUUGCAUACAUGUUCGUCUCAUGCAUCCGAGCAUUUUCCCCGUUGUCCGUUUUGCAUUCCAGCGCUCCUAUCUCCUCCGGUGGUCAUUUCUACCUUCUUCUCGUGUGUGGGGGUUAAACAUUUCCGGAUUGGACCGAGACUUGCCAAGCGGCCUUGGUUUACUACCGGUAGACCGCCAGUCAAGUUUCGUAACAUUUGGACUUUGUUUGAUACUCCAACGGUUAACCGAGGGACCGAGAAGGCCUCGUGUGUGUUGCAGCCCAACACCCUUCCAAAGUGGCCCAAAACCCACCUAAACCUCCUCCAUCAUCUCGGUCGUUCGAUCACGAUCGCGUGGCCGAAAACCGCACCUCAUUUGGACUCUCCUAGCUCCCUCUACAUAUAAAUAUGUGCUCCCCUCCCGAAAUUCGCGGUGCAAAAUUUAAAAUCCCUCCCCUCGCGCCACCGGACAAAUCCUCCCACGCCGGACAAUGUCCGCGCCGCCGCGUCGGAACAAUCCGGGCGUGCCACGUCUCCCCUGGCCGUCUCCAGCCACCCUUGGGCCGCCAUGUGGCGUCGCCACCUCACCCCAGCGCUCCCCACCGUCGCCGGCCCUGCGAGCCCUGCCACAGCCCACCUGAGCCCAUCUGGGGCUCGGGACAGCCCCCGCGUCGCCUCCCGCUCCCUCGUCCCCGAGCUCCAGGGGAGGGAGCUCCCGCACCAGGCCCCGUCGGCGUCCUCGCCGGAGCUGCUCGCCGGAGCAGCAACGAGCUCCACCAGGUCGACCCCGUCCCUCUCCUCUCCCUUUUAUCUCUCUUCUCUUUUUCUCUCCCUGACCUCUCUGCGCUUCCAUGUGGUCAGCGCCGCCACUAGGGCUCCCUCGCCAACGCCCACGACGAACCGCCGUUGGAUCCAGCCGGAAUUGACCCGGCGCGACCAGAUCUGGUCAUCUCCAUGUCCCCGCGACCUCCCCGCCGUUGUUGCGCCGUCGCCGGCGUGCGCCGUCGCCGCCGUCUCUGCCUUUCGGUUCAUGCGGGCACGAGGAGGAAGAGCGCCUCUCGUGUGGGCCCCGCGUGGGCCGAUGCAGCCCAAGGCCCAGCUCCCGGCCCAGUCGCCCGGCCUGCUGUUUCCACCGCCUUGGGAAAAGGCCCACUGGGUGAGAACCCCGCUGUGCACUGUUGGCCCAGUCCGAUUCGGCCCGCCUCUAUUUUUUCCAGAUCUACAAUUUGUCUAUUUUUCCAGAGGAGAGCAUUUUUGCAGGAAAACCCUUGUGGAUCAUGCAUAUAAUAACUCAUGAAUUGUGCAUCGGAUCUAAGUAAGUUAUAUAUGAAACUUGCUUAGAAUUUUUUCUAGAUUCAUAAUAUCCAACUUUCAUCUAUGUUUGAAAUGUUUAAAAUGCUGUUUGAUUAAAUUUGCUCCUAUGUCAUGUUAAAAUGCUUUAAUUCAUAACUAAAUAAUCGUAGCUCGGAUUUAAACAAACUUUAUAUGUAAAUGGGGUAGAAAAAUGCCUAGUAUAACAUGGUGGCAUCACUUUGCAUGUUUAACAACUAUAAAAUAUGGUUUAGGGCAGAACAGUACCAAAUCUAUAAUAUGCUCAUGAGGAGUUUUUGGAUUUGUUGUUCGAUAUUCCGGCCUCAUUUAAACUUGCCUAGAUAGAUAGUUUUAUUGUGCUUCACCCUCUUGCCAUGUUAAUAAACAUUUAAUCUUGUUGGGUACAUAAACGAGAGAGAACUAAAUAAGUCAUGUGGUGUUUUCUUCAAUAUGCAACUCCGUUGCAUAAUGAGCUCCACUUAAUUUGUAGGAUUGUUUGUGCAUUUUGCCAUGCCAUGCCAUGUAUCAUUAAACCGGACAUACAUCAUACUUGGUUGUGCAUCAUGCCAUGUCCACGUGUUGUUUAUUUACUAUGUUGUGUGCUUCUUUCCGGUGUUGCUUCUUCGGGUUGGUUCCGUUAACGUCGCGUUUGUGAGGAACCGUUCGACUACGCUCGUUUUUCUUCUUCAUGGACUCGCUCUUCUUCCUUGCGGGAUCUCAGGCAAGAUGACCAUACCCUCGAAAUCACUUCUAUCUUUGCUUGCUUAGUUGCUCACUCUUUUGCUAUGCCUAUGCUGCGAUACCUACCACUUGCUUAUCAUGCCUCCUAUAUUGUUGAACCAAGCCUCUAACCCACCUUGUCCUAGCAAACCGUUGAUUGGCUAUGUUACCGCUUUGCUCAGCCCCUCUUAUAGCGUUGUUAGUUGCAGGUGAAGAUUGGAGUUUGUUCAAUGUUGGAACAUGGAUAUUUUGUUGGGAUAUCACAAUAUCUCUUAUUUAAUUAAUGCACCUAUAUACUUGGUAAAGGGUGGAAGGAUCGGCCUUAUGCCUAGUGUUUUGUUCCACUCUUGCCGCCCUAGUUUCCGUCAUAUCGGUGUUAUGUUCCUGGAUUUUGCGUUCCUUACACGGUUGGGUUAUAAUGGGAACCCCUUGACAGUUCGCCUUGAAUAAAACUCCUCCAGCAAGGCCCAACCUUGGUUUUACCUUUUGCCACCUAGCCUUUUUCCCUUGGGAGUCACGCAUCCCGAGGGUCAUCUUAUUUUAACCCCCCCGGGCCAGUGCUUGUCUAAGCGUUGGUCCAAACUAGAGCCCCUUGCAGCGCCACCUCGGAGAAACUCGAGGGCUGGUUUUAGUUGUACGGAUUGCUUAUCCGGUGUUGCCCUGAGAACGAGAUAUGUGCAGCUCCUAUCGGGAUGUCGGCACAUCGGGUGGUCUUGCUGGACUUGUUUUACCAUUGUCGAGGAUGUCUUGUAGAACCGGGAUACCGAGUCUGAUCGGAAUGUCUCGGGAGGAGGUCUAUUCCUUCGUUGACCGUGAGAGCUUGUCAUGGGCUAAGUUGGGACACCCCUGCAGGGAUUUGAACUUUCGAAAGUCGUGCCCGCGGUUAUGGGAAGAUGGGAAUUUGUUAAUGUCCGGUUGCAGAAAACCUGAAGUUGACCUUAAUUAAAAUACAUCAACCACGUGUGUAACCGUGAUGGUCUCUUCUCGGUGGAGUCUGGGAAGUGAACACGGUGUUGGAGUUAUGCUUGACGUAGGUUGUUUUAGGAUCACUUCUUGAUCAUACUUUUAUCGACCGUGCUUUGCCUUCUCUUCUCGCUCUCACUUGCGUAUGUUAGCCACCAUAUAUGCUAGUCGCUUGCUGCAGCUCCACCUCACCCUUUUACCUUACCCAUAAGCUUAAAUAGACUUGAUCGCGAGGGUGCGAGAUUGCUGAGUCCCCGUGGCUCACAGAUACUUCAAAAACCAGCUCGCAGGUGCCGAUGAGACCGUGCAGGUGACGCAAGCAAGCUCAAGGAGGAGCUCAAUGAAGAUCUUGUCCUUUGUUUUGUUUCAUUCUAGUUGAUCAGUAGUGGAGCCCAGUUGGGGUCGAUCGGGGACCUUGUCGCAUUUGGGGUUCUUCUUUUAUUUUGGUUCCGUAGUCGGACCUUGAUUGUAUCUGGAUGAUGUAAUGCUUUAUUCAUGUAUUUGUGUGAAGUGGUGAUUGUAAGCCAACUAUGUAUCUCUUUUUCCUUAUGUAUUACAUGGGGUAUGUGAAGAUUACCUCACUUGCGACAUUGCUUUCAAUGCGGUUAUGCCUCUAAGUCGUGCUUGACACGUGGGAGAUAUAGCCGCAUCGAUGACGUUACAAGUUGGUAAUCAGAGCCUUCCCCGACCUUAGGAGCCCCCACUGAUUGAUCGUUCUUAGAAGCUGUUGUUGAGUCUAGAAAAAAUGUUUUGAGUCAUUUAGGAAUUAUAUAUCGGAGAGUUUAGGAAUUCUUUUUACUCCCCAGUCUCCUCACCGCUCUGGUAAGGCAUCCUGACGUAGAGUUUUGACUCUUCUCUUCUCAAAUUUCACUAAAUUUUUUUAGGAUCACGCGGGUAUCUUGGAAUCGUUCCGAUGGUUUUGUGACGAGAACAUUGUCUUGGUGCCUCCUGUCAGGGGUUUUGUGGAAGUGUCCCGGGGAGUUGAGCUCUGAGGUGUUGUCGUCAUAAUUUUAUCGUUGCAGUUCUGGAAUACCUGAGUUUAUUACGCCGACAUCGAAAAUCUCUUUUAUGCAGUUCGUUGGUGAGAUAACCUCGACGCCACCCAGUACUGGGGCGGGAGUUCGGGAGUAUUGCCAUAACUCGUAUAACGGAUGCUUUUCGAAGGUUGAGGUAGACGAUUUCCGAAGGUUUCUUGGUUAUGUGUUGAAGGAUGGAUACAACUGGAUGUAGGAUUUGUUAGUUUUGGGUGAGAUAUUAUGCUUCCCCUGAAUCCCCAACACCUGAUUGCAUAACCGGAAAGGUUCGGGAGUUUCAUAAGUGGGAAUUCAAGUAGCUCUUAGGAUAUCUUUUCGACAGAUGUAUGAUAUGAAAUUGGGGUUCGACGUCUAGUGGUCCGCCUAUCCACGGUCGGUUUUACAGUGGUCUCGUUGUGUCUUAAAGAGUCCUUGGCUUUGCCGACUCGGGGACGCUUCGUAUGUCAUGUGCACUGCCUUGUACAUGAUGGUGCUGUACGAUCGAGCCCGUGUAGGCCCCACCACGAAAACUUCGGACAAAAUCUCUAUCAUAUGUUUGUUCCGGCUUAUUCGGCAAGCCAAUCCUUGUUUUGUUUUUGAGUUGUGGUAUUCGAGUUGCUUCGAAGUCAAGUGUUGAUUCCAUACCUUUCCUAAACGGUGUUCUCAUACUCCGAUGUGAAUACAAAUCCUUCAUGAUAAUCGAGAUUGUCAUGUCAAUCCUUUGCACCGAUGUGCUUCUCUUCAAGUGGAUCCGAUCAUUUCAACAUCCGCAAGAUCAAUUCUAAGUUUCUCAAUGGUGUUCGUUUCAUCCAUUCCAAAUUGUCUUUGUUUUUCCCACCCUCCCUCCCUUGUUUUUCUUCAAGGAUUCAGAUUUCUUAAUCACUAUCCAUUUUAUUGAUGGAAGUCCCUCCGUUCUAUUUCCUUCAUGUUCUUAUCCGGUGAUUCUCAUGAAGAUACUAACGGAGCUUCUAGUUCAUCAUUCUUCAUUUCUUUUAUCUUCUCCGGUGGUUUCAAGUCAAGCUUUGUUGAUCUUACCCUUUCCUCUUUUCAAUGUCUUCUCAUACCGGUGCACCUCAUAAUAAUUCACUUCUCACUAUUCUUUUGUUUCGGCGUGCUCAAGCUUUCUCAAAAGGCUCGUCUUGUCAUUCAAGAUCCGUUCAACCUAGUUCGAGGUUGUUAUCUUAUUCAAGCCAUUUAAUUCAACUGGUGCAAUAUCUCUUUUCAAGUAAUCAUUUCAACGGUGUUUCUUUUGAGUGGGCCCUAACCCACAGGUCUUUUCCCAGGAUCUUACCUGACUCUUCUUAUUUUCCCGGAGCUAUCCUAAAUUCUUUUUGAAGUUUGACGUAAGAAUGAGUUAUCAUCAGUCAAAUGCCUUCUCCAAGAUCUUUCACACUAUUUUCAUCGUUGGCUCAACCUUUUCCAUUCUUCAUUCGGAGUGCCUCAACAAUUCAUGGUGGUGUUCCUCAUCGUCAUUCUCUGCAGUUGGAGACCGAAGAAGAGUUUCUUUUAAAUAUUGCCCCAUUCUCUGCCAUCCUCUCAUAAUUGUUUUCGUUUGUGAGAUUUUCACCCAUCCAGAGUAAUUCAGGAGUCUUUUCAGUUUGAUUCUCUGAAGUCCAUCAUUUCGGGAUUAUUCAUUCUCAGCUUUCAGCUAUCAUUCUCCAAAUUUUACCGGUGCAUCGUUCAAGUGAUCUUUAAUCGGCUCGUGAUCUCUUCGUUCUCAUGUUUCUAAAUCCUCUAAAUCUAUGUUCAUUUUAUAAUUCUUCCCGGUGUUUUCUUUGCCUUUACUUCAAUCGUUUUUCAAUUCUUACGGUGGUUCGUUCAAGAUCUCUCUUCCGUAUCAAUUCAUUCGUUCUUUCAAUCCCGACGGGUGAUUUGUUGAAGACCUUCUCAAGUUGGCGCUAUAUCUGUCUUAAUGCUCGCUACGAGAAUAAGUAGUAUGUCAAAUCCGUUGAUUGUCAUCAAUUUAAUUGAUGAAGGAUAAACAUAAUGUAAUUCUUAUUCUUGUUUCAUCGAGUAAAUUCAAUUCCUUAUUUCGGAGCCUCAUCAAAACUCUCGGUUUCACUUGUUUAAUCUUUAUUUCCGGAGCUCAAAGUUAUUUAAUUAUAUCAUUCCAAAGAUCUAUCUAAUCAUUGCAAGGAUUCACCUUGUGUUUUCAACUUCUCUUUCCUUUCGAUUGAUCAUUCUUUUAUUACCGGAGUUCUUCAUGGAGGCUCUACAUGAUGGUUCAUCAAGGAUUUAAUUCCUUCUCAAAGUGUUCAUUGAGAUUCUUUUCAGAGGAGCUCAAGCAUUCUCCAUCUUGCAAUCCGAGUGCAAUUCCCUCUACCAUAUCAUCGGAGGUGGUAUUAUGUCAUUCUUGAUAAUUUGAGUUCAUGUUUCAUGAUUCACAGGUUGUUAAGAAUGGGGUAUUUUAAAUCCAUCAACCUAUUCGUUGGAAUUACCUUGGGUUAUAUUUCACCUAGAGCGUUCCCUAAGGAUUGUUGCUACUUAUGGUGCUUAUAAAUGACCCAAGUUCUUCAUCUAUCCUCCCGGUGAAUAGGUUUCUCGUCUCCUUGUUGAUAUCAACCCAAUCUUUGAUUUUGUUAGUGGCAGGUUGUCACCUCAUAAUUUGAGAUGUAUUCCAUAAGACCAUGGCAAGUUUAUCCUUUUUCGUUGCUGGUGUUCCAACAACUCCAUUCGACCCUUCUCCUAAGGAUGCCUUAUCAAACUCUUUUGUGGCAAAAGUUGGCAUUUUCUUCUCCAUUCUUUUAUUUUAAUCAUCUAUCUUCUAUUUCUUUCUCCUGGAGGCAUUGUGUUGUUUCUCUCUUCGAACCUUCUUCUUGUCCUUGUCAUGCUUAUCCUUUUAACCGGAGUGUUGUGCCCCUUUGCUCAUGCUCUUUCAUUUUAUCAAGUCUUUCAUCUCUUUCCAACUGGAGUGUUGUCCGAAUUUGCUCUUCCUUGUUUUCCUCUUCCCUACCGGAGUGCUUUCAACUGCAUUCAUCUCCGUUGUAUUCUUUUCUCCAUAUGGAUUAACCUCUUCAAGGUUCCUUGGUUUCACUCGUUUUCCAAAGAAGCAAUUUAGUUUUACCUCUUCUCUUUCUCUUCCGUUUGUCCCUCCGGUGCCAUUCUAGAUCUUGGGACGAGAUCCUCUCGUAGUGGUGGAGUGUUGUAACGCCCCGAGACCGUUGUGCCAGGUGUUCUCCAGUUAUUUGCUGUUGUUGCCUUGUCAUGCUUGCAUGUCAUGCAUCUCAUAUCAUGUCAUCAUGUGCAUCGCAUUUGCAUACAUGUUCGUCUCAUGCAUCCAAGCAUUUUCCCCGUUGUCUGUUUUGCAUUCCGGCGCUCCUAUCUCCUCCGGUGGUCAUUUCUACCUUCUUCUCGUGUGUGGGGGUUAAACAUUUCCGGAUUGGACCGAGACUUGUCAAGCGGCCUUGGCUUACUACCGGUAGACCGCCUGUCAAGUUUCGUACCAUUUGGACUUCGUUUGAUACUCCAACGGUUAACCGAGGGACCGAGAAGGCCUCGUGUGUGUUGCAGCCCAACACCCUUCCAAAGUGGCCCAAAACCCACCUAAACCUCCUCCAUCAUCUCGGUCGUUCGAUCACGAUCGCGUGGCCGAAAACCGCACCUCAUUUGGACUCUCCUAGCUCCCUCUACCUAUAAAUAUGUGCUCCCCUCCCGAAAUUCGCGGUGCAAACCUUAAAAUCCCUCCCCUCGCGCCACCGGACAAAUCCUCCCACGCCGGGCAAUGUCCGCGCCGCCGCGUCGGACCAAUCCGGGCGUGCCACGUCGCCCGUGGCCGUCUCCAGCCACCCCUGGGCCGCCAUGUGGCGUCGCCACCUCACCCCAGCGCUCCCCACCGCCGCCGGCCCUGCGAGCCCUGCCGCGGCCCACCUGAGCCCAUCUGGGGCUCGGGACAGCCCCCGCGUCGUCUCCCGCUCCCUCGUCCCCGAGCUCCAGGGGAGGGAGCUCCCGCACCAGGCCCCGUCGGCGUCCUUGCCGGAGCUGCUCGCCGGAGCAGCAACGAGCUCCACCAGGUCGACCCCGUCCCUCUCCUCUCCCUUUUCUCUCUCUUCUCUUUUUCUCUCCCUAACCUCUCUGCGCUUCCACAUGGUCAGCGCCACCACCAGGGCUCCCUCGCCGACGCCCACAACGAACCGCCGUUGGAUCCGGCCGGAAUGGACCCGGCGCGACCAGAUCCGGUCAUCUCCAUGUCCCCGCGACCUCCCCGCCGUUGCUGCGCCGUCGCCGCCGUCUCUGCCUUUCGGUUCGUGCGGGCACGAGGAGGAAGAGCGCCUCUCGUGUGGGCCCCGCGUGGGCCGAUGCGCCCCAAGGCCCAGCUCCCGGCCCAGUCGCCUGGCCUGCUAUUUCCACCGCCUUGGGAAAAGGCCCACUGGGUGAGAACCCCGCUGUGCACUAUUGGCCCAGUCCGAUUCGGCCCGCCUCUAUUUUUUUCAGAUCUACAAUUUGUCUAUUUUUCCAGAGGAGAGCAUUUUUGCAGGAAAACCCUUGUGGAUCAUGCAUAUAAUAACUCAUGAACCGUGCAUCGGAUCUAAAUAAGUUAUAUAUGAAACUUGCUUAGAACUUUGUCUAGAUUCAUAAUAUCCAACUUUCAUCUAUGUUUGAAAUGUUUAAAAUGCUGUUUGAUUAAAUUUGCUCCUAUGUCAUGUUAAAAUGCUUUAAUUCAUAACUAAAUAACCGUAGCUCGGAUUUAAACAAACUUUAUAUGUAAAUGAGGUAGAAAAAUGCCUAGUUUAACAUGGUGGCAUCACUUUGCAUGUUCAACAACUAUAGAAUAUGGUUUAGGGCAGAACAGUACCAAAUCUAUAAUAUGCUCAUGAGGAGUUUCCGGAUUUGUUGUUCGAUGUUCCGGCCUCAUUUAAACUUGCCUAGAUAGGUAGUUUUAUUGUGCUUCACCCUCUUGCCAUGUUAAUAAACAUUUAAUCUUGUUGGGUACAUAAACGAGAGAGAACUAAAUAAGUCAUGUGGUGUUUUCUUCAAUAUGCAACUCCGUUGCAUAAUGAGCUCCACUUAAUUUGUAGGAUUGUUUAUGCAUUUUGCCAUGCCAUGCCAUGUAUCAUUAAACCGUACAUACAUCAUACUUGGUUGUGCAUCAUGCCAUGUCCACGUGUUGUUUAUUUACUAUGUUGUGUGCUUCUUUUCGGUGUUGCUUCUUCGGGUUGGUUCCGUUAACGUCGCGUUUGUGAGGAACCGUUCGACUAUGUCCGUUUGUCUUCUUCAUGGACUCGCUCUUCUUCCUUGCGGGAUCUCAGGCAAGAUGACCAUACCCUCGAAAUCACUUCUAUCUUUGCUUGCUUAGUUGCUCGCUCUUUCGCUAUGUCUAUGCUGCGAUACCUACCACUUGCUUAUCAUGCCUCCUAUAUUGUUGAACCAAGCCUCUAACCCACCUUGUCCUAGCAAACCGUUGAUUGGUUAUGUUACCACUUUGCUCAGCCCCUCUUAUAGCAUUGUUAGUUGCAGGUGAAGAUUGGAGUUUGUUUAAUGUUGGAACAUGGAUAUUUUGUUGGGAUAUCACAAUAUCUCUUAUUUAAUUAAUGCAUUUAUAUACUUGGUAAAGGGUGGAAGGCUCGGCCUUAUGCCUAGUGUUUUGUUCCACUCUUGCCGCCCUAGUUUCCGUCAUAUCGGUGUUAUGUUCCCGGAUUUUGCGUUCUUUACGCGGUUGGGUUAUAAUGGGAACCCCUUGACAGUUCGCCUUGAAUAAAACUCCUCCAGCAAGGCCCAACCUUGGUUUUACCUUUUGCCACCUAGCCUUUUUCCCUUGGGAGUCGCGCAUCCUGAGGGUCAUCUUAUUUUAACCCCCCCGGGCCAGUGCUUGUCUAAGCGUUGGUCCAAACUAGAGCCCCUUGCAGCGCCACCUCGAAGAAACUCGAUGGCUGGUUUUAGUUGUACGGAUUGCUUAUCCGGUGUUGCCCUGAGAACGAGAUAUGUGCAGCUCCUAUCGGGAUGUCGGCGCAUCGGGUGGUCUUGCUGGACUUGUUUUACCAUUGUCGAGGAUGCCUUGUAGAACCGGGAUUCCGAGUCUGAUCGGAAUGUCUCGGGAGGAGGUCUAUUCCUUCGUUGACCGUGAGAGCUUGUCAUGGGCUAAGUUGGGACACACCUGCAGAGAUUUGAACUUUCGAAAGCCGCGCCCGCGGUUAUGGAAAGAUGGGAAUUUGUUAAUGUCCGGUUGUAGAAAACCUGAAGUUGACCUUAAUUAAAAUACAUCAACCGCGUGUGUAACCGUGAUGGUCUCUUCUCGGCGGAGUCCGGAAAGUGAACACGGUGUUGGAGUUAUGCUUGACGUAGGUUGUUUUAGGAUCACUUCUUGAUCAUACUUUUAUCGACCGUGCUUUGCCUUCUCUUCUCGCUCUCACUUGCGUAUGUUAGCCACCAUAUAUGCUAGUCGCUUGCUGCAGCUCCACCUCACCCUUUUACCUUACCCAUAAGCUUAAAUAGACUUGAUCGCGAGGGUGCGAGAUUGCUGAGUCCCCGUGGCUCACAGAUACUUCAAAAACCAGCUCGCAGGUGCCGAUGAGACCGUGCAGGUGACGCAACCAAGCUCAAGGAGGAGCUCGAUGAAGAUCUUGUCCUUUGUUUUGUUUCGUUCUAGUUGAUCAGUAGUGGAGCCCAGUUGGGGUCAAUCGGGGACCUUGUCGCAUUUGGGGUUCUUCUUUUAUUUUGGUUCCGUAGUCGGACCUUGAUUGUAUCUGGAUGAUGUAAUGUUUUAUUCAUGUAUUUGUGUGAAGUGGCGAUUGUAAGCCAACUAUGUAUCUCUUUUCCCUUAUGUAUUAUAUGGGUUGUGUGAAGAUUACCUCACUUGCGACAUUGCUUUCAAUGCGGUUAUGCCUCUAAGUCGUGCUUCGACACGUGAAAGAUAUAGCCGCAUCGAGGGCGUUACAUAUGGCUUUCUUACUGAAGCAAGACAACUGAGCAAGAAUAAUGAUGUUAAGUGGCCUUGGGGACUCCAGCUGAAACAAUGCAAAAUAAUUCCCAGGCUCUGUAACAUGUUGCUGCAACUUAGCUACAAUAGGUUUCUGUAUCAAAUGGUGAACAGGUCCAGUAGUGUCGUCAAACAAGUACUUCGCUGGUAGAUCGCUUGGGAAGGCUGUGGCGAUAUGUACCAUAAGCUGUUGAUAAGCAUUUCCACCCAGCAUUAUUUCACCAAAUGAGGAGCGAAACUCGAAAGGGACCAGUAGUACAGUAAGCGGAAUUCUAGCUCCAGAACCACCAAUCAUUUGUUUAGAAUUGCAGUUCAUAUCAAGAUGGUCACUCCUCUUAUAUUCCCUUUGACUCAAAAAUAGCCAAUACAUGCUCAUGGUCCUCAUGGUCCCUAGCAACUUCUCAUGCCAAGGAAUAUUACAUGUAGCAGCUUGCUCCAGAAAGUGAUGUUCCGACAAGUUCCACUGCUCCUGGCUUUGAUGCACAAUGUCACCAGCACCCCAUAAUUUCUCAAGGCAAAAACAGCCAGCCAACUCACUGAUGUGCACAUGAUUAAUAAACUGAUGCUCAAUAAAUUCUACAAUUUGUAGUUCAGACAAACCAUGCACUUCUCGAGGAUUGUUGGAUGGUAGCAGAAACUGAAAAUCAUGCCUAAGGCAGGGCCUGCAGACAGUUGUUUUCCGCACAAAACUGAGAGUCCAUGCAACUCCACAUUGUAAUUGUUCAAAAGAACUAGGGAGAUCAGACUGAAUGGUGAAAUCAUUGCUAUUUGUUCCGGGAUGUGCACAAUAACAGAUCAUCUCACUACCACAAUCGUGCUUAGUGGAAACCAAGAAAGUGAGUUGCUCUUGUUCAGCAAAUGCACAAAGUUCAGAAAACCACUGUUUACUGUAAUGAAAGAGCUUCACAUGUGUAUUGAGGCAUGAAUCAUCUUCAUCUUGUUGCAAAGACCACAAACAUAGGAGCUGACCUGGGAAUAUCCUUAUGCCGUUUCCAAGAAGACCACACACAAGAUUUCCAACAUGGCUUAAUUCCAUCAGAAAUCUACUACUAAUCAAACCACUGUCAUGCACUUGAACUAACAUAAUUAGAUGCUUCAUGAACCUUCCAAUUAGAAACGAUGGCCAUGGAAUGGGUCGGACCUCGUUUCCGUCUGCUGAUACAAGAUGCACACAAUCACACUUCUCUAAUGGCACACUGACUUCAAACGACUUCAGUCGCACACUUGGUAGAUACCUCCAGUAUUCUCUCAAAAAAUUCAGAGCAACCGGCAAACGCUGCACCACAUAAGUAACUUGCAACAGCAGCCCUUCAUAAUUCAGAGUCGUGCCUUCAAGAGAACCAGCAAACGACGGCCACGGCGCGGGCCGUACAUCAUUGCCGUCAGCAAAAUGCAUCUGAAAUGAUGACCACGGAGUCGGUCGGACCUCGUUUCCCUCUGCAAUAUGAUCCACCAGAAACGAUGGCCAUGGUGACGCCCGUAUCAGCAGCCCUGCAUGCCCCGGCGAGACGUCCAGGUCGUGGUUCCGGAACGGCUGCACGACGGCAUCGGUGCCCGAGUGAAUGAGAUCCGUGACGAGCAUUGGUGCGGCUGUUGAGAGGAGCGGCACUGUCAUGACUGAAGGUGGGAACGCCCUCGUGUUGUUGUCCUGGUUCGAGCAUUCUGUCGAACAGGUCACGGGCUUGUCAUUGAUGGAGUCCUCGGACGCAUCGUGGGGGACCACCCGGGCCUCAGUGGUGGAGGAGGGGGUGCCGGGGAGGACGGCGAGCUCGGUGACGACUUCUGGAAUAUCCUCCACCCAUGUGUGCUCGUCCAUGCCCGUGUCGGGGACGUGGCGGUUGCUGUCGAGGGAAGACUCAGGGGAUGUGUCGUGGACCUCCUCGUCGAUGGUGGGUGAAGUAGUCGUGGAUGCGAGGUCGAUGUGAGACGAGGUAGCAGUAGCAGGAGGAGGGGAGGCAGGCAGAUCGACUUGUGAGGUAGCCCCGACUGGAUCGCCCGCACGCGCGGCCGCGAACUCGGACUUGAUGCUAUCCAUCUGCGCCGAUAGCUGCGCGAGAAACCACAACAUCUGCUCGUCUGCGGUCAUGGUGUCCCACUCCGGUGGAUAGACCAGGGAACAAGGAGACUGCUCCUGAUCGGACAUGGUGCCGUCGCCGGUGGAAAUUGGGAAAUCGAGGAGGUGGUGGUGAAAUUUACUGGCUCUGAAUACCAGAUGUUAACAACCUAACGAUAUCUUCCUCGAUCUAUCACUCACAGAUGAACUCAAAUAACAAUGGUGGAUUACAGGAUCACAGAUACACGAAUUGGAGGAAGGAAGGUAAGGGGAAAAGAGGGG